This 73-nucleotide transfer RNA is filed under the name Camelus bactrianus (Bactrian camel). It matches the Rfam family "tRNA". From Rfam's summary of the family: Transfer RNA (tRNA) molecules are approximately 80 nucleotides in length. Their secondary structure includes four short double-helical elements and three loops (D, anti-codon, and T loops). The record is from Rfam by way of RNAcentral. Lineage: Eukaryota; Metazoa; Chordata; Mammalia; Artiodactyla; Camelidae. RNAcentral also lists the same sequence under 1 other name.
GAGGGUAUAGCUCAAGUAGUAGAGCGCAUGCUUAGCAUGUAGGAGGUCCUGGGUUCAAUUCCCAGAACUUCCU